UUGGGUUAAGUCCCGCAACGAGCGCAACCCUCGUUCUUAGUUGCCAGCAUUUCGGAUGGGCACUCUAGGGAGACUGCCGGUGACAAACCGGAGGAAGGUGGGGAUGACGUCAAGUCAGCAUGCCCCUUACGUCCUGGGCUACACACGUACUACAAUGCUCGAGACAAAGGGCAGCAAGUAUGCGAAUACAAGCAAAUCUCAGAAACUCGGGCUCAGUUCAGAUCGCAGGCUGCAACUCGCCUGCGUGAAGUCGGAAUCGCUAGUAAUUGCAGGUCAGCAUACUGCAGUGAAUUCGUUCCCGGGCCUUGUACACACCGCCCGUCACACCAUGGAAGCUGGUCACGCCCGAAGUCGUUACCCUAACCGUCAAAGGAGGGGGACGCCGAAGGUAGGACUGGUGACUGGGGUGAAGUCGUGACAAGGUAGCCGUACCGGAAGGUGUGGCUGGAUCACCUCCUUU
RNAcentral lists this ribosomal RNA (460 nucleotides) under uncultured cyanobacterium. RNAcentral describes it as "bacterial SSU rRNA". It matches the Rfam family "Bacterial small subunit ribosomal RNA", at positions 1075 to 1533 of the family's 1533-position model. The record is from RNAcentral. Lineage: Bacteria; Bacillati; Cyanobacteriota.